UGAAGCCUCACUUGGGGAGAAGCAGUGCGUUUUAUCACAGGGCUGGAUAGCACAAGUUGUGCUGGGGAGGUGCACAGAAAUACACAUGUGUGCGUGUGGGUUUUGGCAUGUGCACACCAGGCCUGGGAGAAUUUUCUAUGGCUUCGCAGACUGGAUUUCCAAGCGGGAGCCGGCAUGAGCACAUACCUCUUCCAUUUGCUACCCACGGCCCCAGCUGGCCAGUGAGGUUCAGAGAAACUCGCUCUGCAGCUGCCUCAGCUCUGCCCGAAGCUCUGUGGCCCGGAUGGUGGGCAGAGAACUGAACCGGGACAGAAAGGCAUCUCAGAGCCGUGCAGAGGAGCUCAGCCUCUCACCGCCUUCCUGGGGGUCUUCCGAAUACUUCUGAGCCUAGGAGCAUCUUCUCCAACAGGCAAGUCAGUAGGUUUCCCAGAGGAAUGAGGACACAAGCCUCGGCCAGGCUUACCAUUGAGCAUCUGUCCACAAAGCGCUGACUCUGCGCCAUGAGCCGCGCUAGGCACUCUCUCACUGAGUCCUCACAACAGCCCUACGAGAAAAAUCAAAAUGUUCAUGGAAUGUAGCUUCUCCGUGGAGGGUUUUCUAAGGUGGGAACUUCAAUAUCAUCAAAGAGACCGGUGUGUGGCCGUGACAUUCAGGACUGGGCUGUGAGGUCUGUUUUCUGCACAUGAACUGACCGCACUAACCAGCCCCGGAAAAGUCUGGGGCACCGGGCACCUGGUCAGCUCCCGGUCCAGAGCGACCCUUUGUGGGUCAUCGCCCCCCACUUCACAAUCUGGGAGAAGCGUGCCUCCUCCAUCCAGGACAACGGCGCCAGAGCGUUGACUUGGAGAAGCCGACAAGCCCACCGAUUCAAGGCAACAGAGAAUGAAGAAAGGAUGGAGGAGAAGGGUGGAAAGAGCUACGAGAGAGAGAUGCAGGGGUGAUACCGGGGGGCAGGACAUUGUGGCAGGCUCCAUGGCCCAGAACUUGCAGAAGAAUCCCCCUUCGGGCUGCUGACUGAGAAAUGCCUGCUGCACACUCCGCCAAGUCUGCCAAGGUCCACGGCGGUUCAACAAGGUUCUCCACCCACGUGCAACCACCUCUGAAGGAGCUCAUCAAGGCAACCUUGUCGCUGAUCUCUGCCUCGAAGCUUGUCAACCUCAGGCCAAGGUUUUUACUGAGGCUACCAGAGGUAACUGUGGCCUUCUCUGAGUCACCUCAGAGCAUCUGGUUCCAGUGCUGUCUUGGACUCUCUGCUGCCAACGCCAGUCCCUUGCUUCCCAGGCCUUGGUGCACGGUCCCCCGGGGGGGCUUCACUGGGAGAAGACCACCCUCAUCCAUGGAAGGCAGGGUUCUCCGGAAGCCUGACCUCCAAACAGGACAUGAGUGACCGUGUCCUAAUUUCUUCUUGCUCCUCGCCCUGGGGGUGGCAGAAGACGGAAUCCAUCUCAGGCCUGCCCCACACGGCUACUACGCUCAGAAUCUCUGUUUUCACUCGGCGGGGAUGAUUCUGCACACCCCGAGGCUGGAGAUGCCCCUCACGCAAACCCUGGGCAUUUCACCGCAGCAUGAAAUAAGCCACAAAUGGUUCUGCAGCAAUGCAAAUUGGCCUCGUUUAUGUAUUUGGCUGGGCUGUGAAAUACUGGGUGUCCAGUGCAUUUUUGCAAAUCAGGUCUUGUUGGAAAUCCACCACGGGAAUUAGCCAGUGAAAACGAGACAGCCCGAGCAGCAAGAAUGAUAAGCAGGGAAGCCUGGCUUUAUGCUGUGGGAGCCCGGUGGUUUCCCUUAGGAAGUUCGUUUUUAUCAUUUGCCGUGCAGUUAACCUGAAGCAUGGCUGCCCAUCCAGCAUGCUGGCGGCGCCUGCUAGGAGUUCACACUUAGGGAACUGUGGGUUGUGUGAGGAGGCUGUGCCGGGCAGGUUAUACACUUGGCCUUAAAGGCAUCUUCACUGCAACCUCUGAGGGGCUGUUAUUUCUCUUCCCAUGUAGUGAAAUGAGUGCAUGAAGGCAAGUACGGGUAAGGUCGCUCUGGCCUGUGCAUUGCAUCUCGCCUUUCUCUUGCGUUUUGUGACCUUUUACCUACUGUCUCCCACAGCCCCUCCUCCUCCCCCUCCUUCCAACUCUGUUUUCUUUGAUUCUGUAGGUCCACUUGGCGCCAGUUCAGCAAAUGCCAAGUAUGUUUAUGGCCACAUUCUGUUGUGGACAUGGACAAAGAUUAAAGAGAGUUUAUUUGUUGUGGUGGAAUCCAAGGCCUUGUUGUUGAGGCUUAAAUUUUGUCAAUGUUGCAACAUAUGUUGUAUUUUGAAUCAAAGCCGGUCCCUUUCUUCUCUUCCCUUCUUCUCUUCCAUCUUUCUUUUCUUCUUUUCUUCUUCUGUCAUAGCAGCAAAGCCAAAAAGCCUGCUCUGAAAAGUGCUGAUAAUCUGCCUGUAGGCAAAAGGCAAAUCAAAUAGUUCUUCUGAGCCUGGGGCUACUUCAGCAAGAGUUAGGUUCUGGUAGUUUCUCAGCCACAAAAAUGAGAGCAGUUGUCUUGGAGGAAGAGAUUGGCCUGAGAGUAGGAAUCUGGGGUGCACAGAAGUCACAGGUGAGACCCCCCCCCCUCACCCCAGGGGGCUAGAAAGUCCAGGACGACUCAGGGGUUAGGAGGCAUCACUGGGGCGUCGUCCAAGUGGGUAACGUGCCUGACUAAGCAAACCUGGGAGUGAACACGUGUGUCUCUGCAAGGAGCAAUUCUCAUUCAGGGGUUCUGCACGCCCGCCCCUGUCAUUUCCAGAUCCUCCAGAUCUUAAGGGAUCUUUUUGGAUGGAAGCAGGAUGUGUGCAUUGUUCUGCGAAAUUCCUCCAUUUCUGAAUGAUGGUGGUUCAUUCAAGAUAUGGGAAGGACCACGUGCAUGGGUGAAAUGCAGCCUGGGGGUCGCCAUGAUGGCUUCUCCGGCCUCCUUCUGAGGACUGGGAGGGUGUUCUGAGUCAUGCAGGAGAGAGAAAUGAGGGCUCUUGAAGAUGACAAUGGUCCCCGUAAUUGAAGAGCUCUCGAACUAAGGCAAGUGUUGCCUUUCCCUUCCCUUAAACUUAUAUUCAAAGACUUUGGUUGAAACACACGGAGCAACCCCAAGUACCCCCAAGUGAUACCUUGCAAAUUCAGGCUACAAACUGGGCUUCGAUCUAGCUGUAAAAUGAGAGAACCUGGGAGGCAGGGGCAAGUCAGGUGUAAGUCCACAGGCUUGGGCUGAAGCCAGAGAGGAAGGGGCGUACUCCGAGGAUUUUUCUCUCAAACCAAAGCAGAGAGGGGUGAGAAAUCGCAACCAGAAGCAGGACAGUUUCUGGAACGUGCUGAAUAAUGGAGCCUAUCAAAACAAUCUGGAAAUUAAGAGGCAAGCGAGGCAAGGAGGGGCUAACAUGUUCUCUAAUUCAGCCGAAACAAUUCCUGCAAAGGCAUCCGGUCAACAUCUCAUGGCUCUUGGGGGACCUGGGGCCCCCACAGGUAAUGUCCUGUGCCCAGGGUGUGUGCAGAUUGUUGGGGCUGGGCAAAUCUCAGCCCCCCCUCCACCACCUACCUUUCCAGCUGCUGUUGUGCAGGGCAGGAUGGGAACCUCUCAGAGCUUCAUUGAUAAAACGGGAAAUGCACUCCCUGGUGAGGUGGCUGUCGUGAGAACAGAGAGAGUGGAAUGUGACAGCCUUUAAUAGCGGGACACGUGCCCCGUGGCGGGCCCGGCUCACCUUACUUAGCCUCACUACUUCCACGCUCCCGCCAACGUCAUUGUUGACAGGGCGCAUGUAAGCCCCCGGUGAGUGCAGUGGGGCCGCUUCCACCACUGUUCUCAUUCUGAUCACAGCAGACGUGCACAUCUCAUUCCGGGUGGGAGGUGACAUCCCCGAAUCCUCUGGGUGACACCCCGGGAGACCUUCCCUGGCCACACAAGAAGCCUAACCACUCCUGCCCUCCGAGAGUCAGCCUGGAACACACACACCGGCUUCCCUGGGCUCGUGCCCGAACCCUUGAACGUAGUAAACAGUGUGAAAUGAAGAUGGAUGGCCUUUUUUUGUAAGUAGAUUUGAAGAGUUUUUCUUCUACACCCAUUAUUACCUCUGAUGUAAUGCUCGCCCAGGACUGACGCCUACUACGUAUGUUUUGCAGAAAAGAAGUGUGUUGUUUUCCCUCCCGGUAGCAAAAGCAAUUUAUGCCUGCUAUGGUCGGCUCGGAACCCGUAAGCAGGCUGGAUGCCGUGUGCUGUGAAAGGCCGUGAAUGAGGCUGAGUGGUCUUUGGAAAGGAAAAUUGCAAACCCCACUUGGAAACUGCAGGGACAGAGGGUGGCUACUUUCUUGGCCGAACCCCCGUGGGCCCCCCACCUCAGGCUUCCCUGGGCCCGGCACAGGGCCUGGCGGGGGGCAGAUGCUCGGGAAAGCUGUGAGCUUGCUGCUGGCAAUGUCCUGUGCCCAGGGUGUGUGCAGAUUGUCGGGGCUGGGCAGGGGCGCUUCUGGCUGUCAGAACGGGUCAUGGCAAGUCACGGGCACGGGCUAAGAAUGGUUGAGAGGGACAGUCCCAACAGAGGGCCGUGCACACUCAGUGCCGGGAACCACAGUUCUAGGUGCACUGUGGGGGGGGGCGUGGAGUGAGCUCAUGGUGGUAGCCCUCUGGACAGCCAAGUUAUGAAAGCUUUAGAAUUAUGUAUCGUUUCAUGUGCCUUUUCAGAUCUGCAGUUUAAUUAUUUUCCUCCAAAGAACUUAUGUGAUAUACAAGGUCUGUCUGGAUAAAGUCCAGCCACUGUUAAUAUAACGAGAACGGUUUGCAUGGCAUUGAUGUAACCUGGCAGCUGAGUGGACUGGAAUGCGCAUGUGUGAACAAUAAUGCCUUCGCUAUACAAGUCAGUGGAGGUGGGAGACAGCGCUAAGUGAGCGUGUGUGCUGUGUGGCCGUCUCAUUCAAAAUGACUGAGUGGGUGGAGAAACGAAUCUGCAUCAGAUAUUGCAUUAAAGCUUGAACAUUCCUCUGGAAACUAUUCAGAUGAUUCAGAAGGCCGCAGCUAUGGGCAGCUGGUGAUUGGCAGCUUCAUCAUGACAAUGCACCUGCUCAUGCAUCACGUCUCAUGCAGAGAUUUUUGGUGAAACAUCAACUCGCCCAGGUGAUCCAGCCUCCGCUACAGCCCAGAUUUGGCACCCUGCGACUUCUGGCUUUUCCCCAAACUAAAACCACCUUUGAAAAGGAAGAUAUUCCAGCCCUGGCUGGUGUAGCUCAGUGAAUUGAGCAGGGGCCUGUGAACCAAAGAAUCACAGUUCGAUUCCCAGUCAAGGCACAGGCCUGGCUUGCAGGCCAGUUCCCAGCAGGGGAUGCACACGAGAGGCAACCACACAUUGAUAUUUCUCUCCCUCUCUCCUUCCCUUCCCUCUAAAGAUAAAUAGAUAAAAUUAAAAGAAAAGGAAGAGAUUUCAGACCAUUGAUGAGAUUCGGAAAAAUACAACAGGGCAGCUGAUGGUGACUGGGAGAACUGUGUGAGGUCCCAAGGUGCCUACUGUGAAGGGGACUGAGGUGUCAUUGUCCUGUGUGCAAUGUUUCUUGUAUCUUCUUCAA
This is a long non-coding RNA of Artibeus jamaicensis (Jamaican fruit-eating bat), 5558 nucleotides long. RefSeq lists it as uncharacterized. NCBI's taxonomy places the organism in Eukaryota, Metazoa, Chordata, Mammalia, Chiroptera, Phyllostomidae. The record is from RefSeq and is a predicted model, not a curated record. The transcript has 7 exons.